This 253-nucleotide ribosomal RNA is filed under the name uncultured bacterium. Its description in RNAcentral is "partial 16S ribosomal RNA". It matches the Rfam family "Bacterial small subunit ribosomal RNA", at positions 524 to 776 of the family's 1533-position model. The record is from RNAcentral.
UACAGAGGGUGCGAGCGUUAAUCGGAAUUACUGGGCGUAAAGGGCGCGUAGGUGGUUUAUCAAGAGGGUUGUGAAAUACCUGGGCUUAACCUGGGAAUGGCAAUCCAGACUGGUAGACUCGAGUGCGGUAGAGGAUAGUGGAAUUUCCGGUGUAGCGGUGAAAUGCGUAGAGAUCGGAAGGAACACCGGUGGCGAAGGCGGCUAUCUGGACUGACACUGACACUGAGGCGCGAAAGCGUGGGUAGCGAACAGG